This 438-nucleotide ribosomal RNA is filed under the name uncultured bacterium. RNAcentral's name for it is "bacterial SSU rRNA". It matches the Rfam family "Bacterial small subunit ribosomal RNA", at positions 954 to 1392 of the family's 1533-position model. The record is from RNAcentral.
GCUAAACGCGAAGAACCUUACCUGGGCUUGACAUGCAUCUCUAAGCGCGUGAAAGCGCGUGACCCUUCGGGGGAUUUGCACAGGUGCUGCAUGGCCGUCGUCAGCUCGUGUCGUGAGAUGUUGGGUUAAGUCCCGCAACGAGCGCAACCCUUGUGACUAGUUGCCAGCACGUUAUGGUGGGAACUCUAGUCAGACUGCCCAGAUCAACUGGGAGGAAGGUGGGGACGACGUCAGGUCAGUAUGGCCCUUACGCCCAGGGCUGCACACGUACUACAAUGCCCAGCACAAUGAGAACCGAGACCGCGAGGUGGAGGAAAUCUAUAAAACUGGGCCCAGUUCGGAUUGGAGGCUGCAACUCGCCUCCAUGAAGUUGGAAUCGCUAGUAAUGGCGCAUCAUCUACGGCGCCGUGAAUACGUUCCCGGGUCUUGUACACACCG